AAAAUUUUCUGGUCUCACUCGUAAUUUGGUCUCCAAAAGUAAAGCAGCAAUUUUCAGUACAAAUAUCAAACCCAACAAAAUUUGUUCGUUUUCGUUUUUAAAUUAAAAUUUUAAAUCAUUUCUCAAAAUUUGUUUUUGUUUGCCUUCGUUGCAGUUUCAUUUAAAAGUUGGCUUAUCCAAGCUAUGGUUGUGGCACGUGCAACGGCUCCAUGCCUGGCCCCAUGAGGUCGCUGUCCGCCCCCACAAUUCUGUAUUGUCGAUGUGUCCGUUAUCUGUGUGCAGUGCGUUGGACCGUUAUGCCGCUGGCAG
This is a long non-coding RNA of Drosophila obscura, 309 nucleotides long. RefSeq lists it as uncharacterized. The transcript has 2 exons. NCBI's taxonomy places the organism in Eukaryota, Metazoa, Arthropoda, Insecta, Diptera, Drosophilidae. The record is from RefSeq and is a predicted model, not a curated record.